AAGAGGAACUUAGGCCAUAUAUAUAAAAGCAAGAAAAACAAAUUAAGAAUCAGCAAAACCUCAUUUCUCUAGCUGAAAUGAAGAUCAUCCCGUAUGUUCUUCUUCUCCUAACCCUCAAAACUUCAUUUGGCCAUAUCUUUUUCGUUUCUUAACGGAAUUGAGCGAUUCUCGCGACCACGGAACGAGGAAAGGAUCCUCUAUUUAAUUAUGGCUUCAAUUUGAGGAUGAUCUUGAGUUUAUUUGGAGCAAAGUCAUGGUGAAUUGAUGCUUAAAAUCAUUUGGCCAAGGGACAUCAACAAGAAAAGGUUCGACAAAAAAAAACUAAUAGAGGACAUGGAGCUCAGGGAGCUUACGCUAUUAAUAACGAGGAUUUUGGAUAAGCAAGCAGUACCUAUAUUCUGGACUUGGCUAGAAGUCCAUUCUUUGAUCGGAAGUAAAUCUUGUCGUGUGCAGUCCAGACUUCCGUAGUUGCUGCAGUAGUGUCUUGCCUGACCAGAGUUGUGGUCUAGUACAACAUUUUGAUACAGUGUCGGUUCUGAUUUGAUGUCUUUGUAGUUAUAUAUGUUUUGUACACGGAAGGUGAAUACCUGUGAUGAUAUGGUUUUGAACAAUAGUAUGUAUCGGGCUAAUACGUACAUGAUACGGAAACAAUAAGCCCAAAUAUUUUGUGUCAAUAAGUUACUAGUGUAUAAAGAUGUGUAUAUGUAUAUGCUUCCGCUAUAAUGCCAAUAUAUGAUUGAUGUUUUGAGAAAACGUUUUAGUGAAUUUUAGGCUUGCUACGGGUUUCGGAACUACCAUUCCCAUUCCCUAGCGCCGGUCUCGACUCGAGAUUUUGGGUCGUGACAAAGCAAGUUGGUAUCAGAGCAGUUAGUCCAGUUACUACUGCUAAUAUG
Molecule: long non-coding RNA, 893 nt
Organism: Mercurialis annua (annual mercury)
Lineage: Eukaryota; Viridiplantae; Streptophyta; Magnoliopsida; Malpighiales; Euphorbiaceae
Exons: 4
Source: RefSeq, a predicted model, not a curated record